This 627-nucleotide ribosomal RNA is filed under the name Triticum aestivum (bread wheat). RNAcentral's name for it is "partial small subunit ribosomal RNA". The record is from RNAcentral. Lineage: Eukaryota; Viridiplantae; Streptophyta; Magnoliopsida; Poales; Poaceae.
AUGAUUGUUUACAGACGACGUACAAUGGAAAUGAGAUGGUUUCCUGACUCUUGUCCUGGACUAGACUACUGGAGUGAACGAGUGGUACGUUGUUGCUCAAACCAUAGCCAAGAAGAAGAAGAAGACGAGAGCGUGCAGCGUGCUCUGCUCACCGAGCCUUUGCAGCAGGGGCACCCGCGCCGGCGCAGUAGAAGUGGCGGUGGGGGUGGCGACGGCGACGUCGAAGCGCAGGUAGCGGUCGAAGCCGACGACGGCGCCCGCCACGCCGUCGCGCCACGCGUCGAGGCCCCAGCAGCAGGUGUCCCCCGCCCGCGCCGAGUGCCAGGGGCACCAGGACCAGGCGCAUGUCUCCGCCACCCGCGCCGAGUACUGGACGCACCAGCUGCACUCCUCCGCCGUGCGGUCCCGCGCGCACUGCGCCAGCACGCGCACCGUGCUGUUCUUCCUGUAGUUGUUCGCCGCGGCGGUCCAGUCAACGGCCACCUGCAUCCCGGCGCUGGUGGCCGCGGCCGGCCCCAUGCGCCACGCCAGGUCGGCGAGGCUCUGCAGCUCGGAGGAGGUGCUGGUGGUGAGCGCGUCGGCGCCGGAGAUGAUGCGCGCGCGGAAGCUGUCCGAGUAGGGCGAUGA